RNAcentral lists this ribosomal RNA (241 nucleotides) under uncultured bacterium. Its description in RNAcentral is "partial 16S ribosomal RNA". It matches the Rfam family "Bacterial small subunit ribosomal RNA", at positions 15 to 237 of the family's 1533-position model. The record is from RNAcentral.
GAUCCUGGCUCAGGACGAACGCUGGCGGCGCGCCUAACACAUGCAAGUCGAACGGAGAUUACAGGCGGAAGUUUUCGGAUGGAAGCUUGUAAACUUAGUGGCGGACGGGUGAGUAACACGUGAGCAACCUGCCUAUCAGAGGGGGAUAACGAUUGGAAACGAUCGCUAAUACCGCAUGACAUAGCGGAACCGCAUGGUUCUGUUAUCAAAGUAUUUUAUCGCUGAUAGAUGGGCUCGCCGG